Molecule: ribosomal RNA, 492 nt
Filed under: uncultured bacterium
Lineage: Bacteria
Description: partial 16S ribosomal RNA
Rfam family: Bacterial small subunit ribosomal RNA
Source: RNAcentral
AGUGAACGCUGGCGGUAGGCCUAACACAUGCAAGUCGAACGGCAGCACAGUAAGAGCUUGCUCUUACGGGUGGCGAGUGGCGGACGGGUGAGGAAUACAUCGGAAUCUACUUUUUCGUGGGGGAUAACGUAGGGAAACUUACGCUAAUACCGCAUACGACCUACGGGUGAAAGCAGGGGAUCUUCGGACCUUGCGCGAUUGAAUGAGCCGAUGUCGGAUUAGCUAGUUGGCGGGGUAAAGGCCCACCAAGGCGACGAUCCGUAGCUGGUCUGAGAGGAUGAUCAGCCACACUGGAACUGAGACACGGUCCAGACUCAUACGGGAGGCAGCAGUGGGGAAUAUUGGACAAUGGGCGCAAGCCUGAUCCCGCCAUACCGCGUGGGUGAAGAAGGCCUUCUGAUUGUAAAGCCCUUUUGUUGGGAAAGAAAAGCAGCAGGUUAAUACCCCGCUGUUCUGACGGUACCCAAAGAAUAAGCACCGGCUAACUUCGUG